This 569-nucleotide ribosomal RNA is filed under the name uncultured archaeon. Its description in RNAcentral is "bacterial SSU rRNA". It matches the Rfam family "Archaeal small subunit ribosomal RNA", at positions 326 to 900 of the family's 1478-position model. The record is from RNAcentral.
CGGGGUGCAGCAGGCGCGAAAACUUUACAAUGCGGGAAACCGUGAUAAGGGGACACCGAGUGCCAGCAUCAUAUGCUGGCUGUCCAGGUGUGUAAACUACACCUGUUAGCAAGGGCCGGGCAAGACCGGUGCCAGCCGCCGCGGUAACACCGGCGGCCCGAGUGGUGAUCGUGAUUAUUGGGUCUAAAGGGUCCGUAGCCGGUUUGGUCAGUCCUCCGGGAAAUCUGACGGCUCAACCGUUAGGCUUUCGGGGGAUACUGCCAGGCUUGGAACCGGGAGAGGUAAGAGGUACUACAGGGGUAGGAGUGAAAUCUUGUAAUCCCUGUGGGACCACCUGUGGCGAAGGCGUCUUACCAGAACGGGUUCGACGGUGAGGGACGAAAGCUGGGGGCACGAACCGGAUUAGAUACCCGGGUAGUCCCAGCCGUAAACGAUGCUCGCUAGGUGUCAGGCAUGGCGCGACCGUGUCUGGUGCCGCAGGGAAGCCGUGAAGCGAGCCACCUGGGAAGUACGGCCGCAAGGCUGAAACUUAAAGGAAUUGGCGGGGGAGCACAAGGGCGAAUUCGCGG